GACGAACGCUGGCGGCGUGCUUAACACAUGCAAGUCGAGCGGAGCGGCGAACGGGUGAGUAACGCGUGAGUAACUUCCCCCCUCUCUGGGAUCACAGUUGGAAACGGCUGCUAAUUCCGGUAAGUGGAGGAUGACUCGCGUCCUAUUAGCUUGUUGGUGGGGUAGUGGCCUACCAAGGCGACGACGGGUAGCCGGCCUGAGAGGGCGACCGGCCAAAUUGGGCUGAGAUACGGCCCAAACUCCUACGGGAGGCAGCAGUGGGGAAUAUUGCACAAUGGGGGAAAGCCUGAUGCAGCAACGCCGCGUGGGGGAUGACGGCCUUCGGGUUGUAAACCGCUUUCGACAAGGACGCGGUAGUGGCAGAAGAAGCACCGGCUAACUACGUGCCAGCAGCCGCGGUAAUUC
RNAcentral lists this ribosomal RNA (405 nucleotides) under uncultured bacterium. RNAcentral's name for it is "partial 16S ribosomal RNA". It matches the Rfam family "Bacterial small subunit ribosomal RNA", at positions 28 to 526 of the family's 1533-position model. The record is from RNAcentral.